Molecule: unclassified non-coding RNA, 2401 nt
Filed under: Hevea brasiliensis (rubber tree)
Lineage: Eukaryota; Viridiplantae; Streptophyta; Magnoliopsida; Malpighiales; Euphorbiaceae
Source: RNAcentral
CUUUAUCUUAAAAUUGAUUUGCUUAGCUUACUACAAUUUCAUAAAAACAAGCAAUAAUAAUACUGGACAGCAGACAGGACAACAUGAUUAACCUACAAUUUGCAUGAUUACUUCAAAUUUAUAAAUCAUGAAUAUUAAACCCAAAUUGCUCAGUAAGGAAAAAAUAAAAACUUUGGUUAAAAAUUAAUAACUUCAAAAUCUCAAGUUUAUAAUGCAGGACAAGCAAAAAGGCCACCUUCAUCUACACCUUCUAAUCAUACUUAAAUGAACUACUACGUUCAUUCUCACUGGCUAGCUGCGCACGUGUCCUCCGACAUGCAGGGUGAAUCCGACACCGAGUCAAGAGUCUCAUGACACGGGGAGACUUCCACCCCACGUAUCUCCUCAAUCAUCUUCACCAAGUGACCCAUCCUAGGCCGUUGACCAGGCGCCGGAGAUGUACAAGCCAUGGCAAUCUGCAGCAGCGCCACCAUCUCCUCCUCAAUAUCCUUAUACCUCAUUAGCUCCAAAUCAAACACCUCAGCCGUCCACUCUUCUCUCACCACAGACUGGACCCACCUCGGCAAAUCCACGACCCCACCAUACCCACUCCCUGGCCCACCGCAAUCCACUAUAGAAGGGCACUUCCCAGUCAACAACUCCAGCAGCAAGACCCCAAACGAAUAGACAUCAGAUUUCUGGGUUGGCUUGCGACCGUCGGAUGAUAAUUCAGGAGCACGGUAGCCAUUGGAUCUGGGGGCAGAGGCGGUAGGGGAAGCAAAAAGAGAGAGGCCAAAGUCGGAGACACGUGAAUUGCCAGAUUUGUCAAGAAGGAUGUUUGUGGAUUUGAUGUUACCGUGGGUGAGUUUAAGAGACUUGCAUGAGUUGUGAAUAAAGGCUAGACCACGGGCCGCUCCUGCCGCUAUUUUAAGCCUAGUGGUCCAGUCCAGGGGGGUUCUCCCAGGUCCUCGGUUACCAUGAAGAAGCCAAAACAAGCUGCCAUUAGGCAUGAAAUCGUAGACCAACAGCUUCUCUUCUCUUGCAAAGUAAUAAGCUUUCAAGCUAACCAGAUUAGGGUGCCUCAAUCUCCCUAAAACCUCCAUGUGCUGCUCAAACUCUCUCUUCCCUCCCACAUUUGCGUCCUUGAGCCUUUUCACCGCCACCACAUUCCCAUCGUCCAGCACCGCCUUGUACGCUGUCCCGAACCCACCUUUGCCCAGCAUUUCCGCCGAUGCUCUGAGCAAAUCUUCCAGCUCGAACCUCUUCACCCCUUCGAAAAACACCAUCCGACCCCUCUCAAACCCCGGCUGGUUCGGGUACGGGCUUGACGAGUACACUAUUUUCUCCGUUUCGUGGAGCUUCGAGCCCUUCCCCUCUCGCAUUUUGGCUGCAUAGUUUCUCCAGAAGUAGCAGUAGAGGAGCAGAGAGACUACAGAUAGGACUAAGACGUCACCCAAUAUAAUGGCGAUUAGUGCUAACGGGCUUAUUUUGGCUGUCUUGUUGUGGGUGGUGUUUGCUGCUUUGUUUGGGGGAAUUGAGCUUGGGGAUGAUGAUACAAUAGUUGGGUUACUUCCCGGCAUUACUGGAGAGGCAAUAGCUCCGUCGGAUCCAGGUCUUGUUGGGUCAGACACUAUACCUUUACAGGUCUGCACUGGAGAUCCACAGAGACCGGAGUUUUGAGCAAAAGCGGAUUCAGGAAAACUAGAUAAGGACUUGGGUAUCUCACCGGAGAGGUGGUUGCCGGAAACAUUAAAAUCCUGCAAAGUCCGGAUAUUCAUACCAGCAAUAGAACCGGUGAACCGGUUCUCUUCAAGCCGAAGAGUCAACAAAUGGGUCAGACGGUUGAGUGUCGCAGGAAUAUUACCGGAAAAGUUAUUGUAAGACAGAUCCAGACGGUAAAGGCGAAAAAGAGAUUGUAGAGACGCCGGUAAGUUACCAGAAAAGUUAUUGUGAGAUAAAAAGAGAAGCUUCAAAGCUUUGAGGUUUGAGAGGUCUGGUAGCGCACCAGAAAAGCCGUUUCUUUUAAGACUAAGGACCCGGAGCUGAGUGAGAGAAGUAAGGGGUUGAAAGGAGCCAUGGAGGUCAAGAUUUUCAAGGACGAGACGUGAAACUCUGUUUUUGAGACAGAAGACACCGGUCCAGGUGCAUGGGUCAAUAGUGGAGUUCCAAUCUACGAGAUUGUUGGCCUUGUCCGAUUCGGUCUUGAACUGCAUUAGAUGCUCCAAAUCUGGGUUUGUAGACGCUUGCAGAAGAUAUGAACAAAGACACAAGAUAAAGAAGGUAAAAUGUGGGAUUAGCGAAGCGGGUUUCGCCAUUGUUGAUCUGCAGUAGCACAGGGCGCAAUAGAGAAAGGAACCGAGGAACCGUUUAGCUUGUGAGCGAGUGUAUAGGGAGUGGCGGGGUUUGUAGGAGUGGAUGUGGG